CGGGACAGCCUCGGGAAACCGUGGGUAAUACCGGAUACUCCGGGACGGCCGCAUGGCCGGCCCGGGAAAGCCCAGACGGGAGGGGAUGGGCCCGCGGCCUGUUAGCUGGUCGGCGGGGUAACGGCCCACCGAGGCGAUUAUGGGUAGCCGGGUUGAGAGACCGACCGGCCAGAUUGGGACUGAGACACGGCCCAGACUCCUACGGGAGGCAGCAGUGGGGAAUCUUGCGCAAUGGGCGGAAGCCUGACGCAGCGACGCCGCGUGCGGGACGAAGGCCUUCGGGUCGUAAACCGCUUUCAGCAGGGACGAGGCCCUCACGGUGACGGUACCUGCAGAAGAAGCCCCGGCUAACUACGUGCCAGCAGCCGCGGUAAUACGUAGGGGGCGAGCGUUAUCCGGAUUCAUUGGGCGUAAAGCGCGCGUAGGCGGCCUGUUAGGUCGGGGGUCAAAUACCGGGGCUCAACCCCGGUCCGCCCCCGAUACCGGCAGGCUUGAGUCUGGUAGGGGAAGGCGGAAUUCCCAGUGUAGCGGUGGAAUGCGCAGAUAUUGGGAAGAACACCGGCGGCGAAGGCGGCCUUCUGGGCCACGACUGACGCUGAGGCGCGAAAGCUAGGGGAGCGAACAGGAUUAGAUACCCUGGUAGUCCUAGCCGUAAACGAUGGA
RNAcentral lists this ribosomal RNA (663 nucleotides) under uncultured bacterium. RNAcentral's name for it is "bacterial SSU rRNA". It matches the Rfam family "Bacterial small subunit ribosomal RNA", at positions 139 to 813 of the family's 1533-position model. The record is from RNAcentral.